UACAGAGGUCUCAAGCGUUGUUCGGAUUCAUUGGGCGUAAAGGGUGUGUAGGUGGCGCCGUAAGUCAGGUGUGAAAUCUCGGGGCUUAACUCCGAAACUGCAUUUGAUACUGCGGUGCUUGAGGACUGGAGAGGAGACUGGAAUUUAUGGUGUAGCAGUGAAAUGCGUAGAUAUCAUAAGGAAGACCAGUGGCGAAGGCAGGUCUCUGGGCCACUACUGACGCUGAGAAGCGAAAGCAUGGGGAGCGAACAGG
RNAcentral lists this ribosomal RNA (253 nucleotides) under uncultured bacterium. RNAcentral's name for it is "partial 16S ribosomal RNA". It matches the Rfam family "Bacterial small subunit ribosomal RNA", at positions 524 to 776 of the family's 1533-position model. The record is from RNAcentral.